Uranotaenia lowii is the source of this 1285-nucleotide long non-coding RNA. RefSeq lists it as uncharacterized. The record is from RefSeq and is a predicted model, not a curated record. The transcript has 3 exons. Lineage: Eukaryota; Metazoa; Arthropoda; Insecta; Diptera; Culicidae.
GAGGCUGAUAUAGAGGAUUUGUAGCGGGAGAGCGAAGCUUAUCAAGUUGACUGGCCAUGAGUGCAUUGUUCCAAAAGCAACAAGUGUGGAAUAACGCGAACAGACCCACGCAGGAUGUUCCUGUUAUUUUCGAGAUUAAAAAAAAUUCUCGAGAGUUAUUUAUGAGAUCGCGCCAUGUAAGGAAAGAAAUUCCCCUUGAGUGUGCGGCCAUGGUGUUCUCCGUAAUCGAAUCAUCAUUCAAACAUAUCCGAUCAAUACAAACAUGAAUCUUCGAUUGAUAUUUUCGUUUGUAAGGAAACUAUGGAAUUGUGGGCGACUAUCAUCAAGAGCAGCGUUACUUCUUCUGACAUCCUGGUCCAUUCUAACCCAAUGAAGCAAUUGGUUUGGCUCGACCGCGGAUUCUUUGAGAACGCGACUUGCUUUCCAUACCGAGGUGUUAUUGGAAGCAGUAUCAGCAUGGUUCAUUCCAGUUUCAAAAAAGACAUUCGAUUUUCGGAGCGCUCCCGUCCAACGAAAUACUGGGACUUGAUCAAACGAACUUUGAGCUAUUCUGCUGACUAAUUCGGGAGGUCGCAAUCUCAGUCAGUCGACCUCUAAAACAAAUGAGGAUAAGGCAUGUCCGAUUUUGCUUGAAUGCUUCUGUCAGAGCUUUGGAUUGCAUUGCCACUAAAUAGUUAUGUAAGUAAACGCGAACUAGACUUAUCCCUGUUGUAAUUUACCACAAUGGGUAAACAAAAAGAAUCUAACCGUCAACUCAACAUUUUAUAAGGUUCAAUGAUUCGACAGCUUUCGACCAAGAAUUUAUACGUAAUUGAUAGGUACAAAUAGAACUAGCAUAAUAAGUAGAGAUGAGCACUCCCGUAGGAUGUUGCAUUAUGAAACUCCGGAAAGCAUGUUUUCGUCCAUGUAAUCAAAAAUUAAAAAUCAUCAAUUCUAGAGAUCAGGCACAAAUUGGCCAAUUGAAACUGUAUAGCUUGCAAGAUUACACCUGACAAAUCUUUUGAAGCAAAAAUUCCAAAAUUGCUUUUAUGCUAUUUGUUUCUGUUUGUUUUCUUCAACUUCAGGCUAAGAACAAAUACAUUGAUGAGCGUAUCUAUUGCUUAAGAAAAACUAUUGUAAAACAUUAGAAUAUUCAUUUGCAUUAAUUCAUAUACCAAGAUAGCUUUCAUGUCAUUCCAAUAAUUUGUAACUGUGAUAGCGUUAAUGUUUUUGAUCUGAAAAUAAACUAAAAUUUAUAAAAUGGAAAUUUAUGCCUUUAUAAAUGUAUGUCUUCGAAAGCUUAUGU